GUUUUUAUUUAUGAUUGUGCAAGGUGGUAUGUUUAGUAUAUAAUUUUUGCCAAGGAUGCCCAAAUAUUCUUCUUUGGGGAGUAUGUUUAGUAUAUAAUUUUUGCCAAGGAUGCCCAAAUAUUCUUCUUUGGGGCAAUAUGUUUUUGUUUAUGAUUUUUUAUGACUGCGCAAGGUCGUAUGUUUAGUAUAUAGUUCUUGCACAGGAUGUUUUCAUUGAUCAAGAACGAAAGUUAGGGGAUCGAAGACGGUCAGAUACCGUCCCAGUCUUAACCGCAAACUAUGCCAACUAGCUACCGUCCCAGUCUUAACCAUAUACUAUGCCAACUAUGAGGGGGUCGGAGACGAUCAGAUACCGUCCCAGUCUUAGC
This 368-nucleotide non-coding RNA is filed under the name Symbiodinium microadriaticum. Its description in RNAcentral is "Eukaryotic small subunit ribosomal RNA". It matches the Rfam family "Eukaryotic small subunit ribosomal RNA", at positions 684 to 1110 of the family's 1831-position model. Lineage: Eukaryota; Dinophyceae; Suessiales; Symbiodiniaceae. The record is from Rfam by way of RNAcentral.